Molecule: ribosomal RNA, 524 nt
Filed under: uncultured Paracoccaceae bacterium
Lineage: Bacteria; Pseudomonadati; Pseudomonadota; Alphaproteobacteria; Rhodobacterales; Paracoccaceae
Description: bacterial SSU rRNA
Rfam family: Bacterial small subunit ribosomal RNA
Source: RNAcentral
GGGGGUUAGCGUGUUCGGAAUUACUGGGCGUAAAGCGUACGUAGGCGGAUUAGUCAGUCAGAGGUGAAAUCCCAGGGCUCAACCCUGGAACUGCCUUUAAUACUGCUAGUCUAGAGUUCGAGAGAGGUGAGUGGAAUUCCAAGUGUAGAGGUGAAAUUCGUAGAUAUUUGGAGGAACACCAGUGGCGAAGGCGGCUCACUGGCUCGAUACUGACGCUGAGGUACGAAAGUGUGGGGAGCAAACAGGAUUAGAUACCCUGGUAGUCCACGCCGUAAACGAUGUCAACUAGCCGUUGGGAGGGUAAUCCUUUUAGUGGCGCAGCUAACGCUCUAAGUUGACCGCCUGGGGAGUACGGUCGCAAGAUUAAAACUCAAAGGAAUUGACGGGGGCCCGCACAAGCGGUGGAGCAUGUGGUUUAAUUCGACGCAACGCGAAGAACCUUACCAGGUCUUGACUUCCUGACUAUGGUUAACAGAGAUGUUUUCCUUCAGUUCGGCUGGGUCAGUGACAGGUGCUGCAUGGCU